AUUUGCCCUCAGAGAAUGGAGAAGGUAGAUGUAUUUUUCUAUUUGACUGUCUGUUUGGCUCCAGAGAAAAAUGAUUUGUUUUUGUCCAUUUCAAUACUUAAUCAGAUUGUGCAAAGUUUAAUUUUUGUUUUUCUAAGCUGUUUAGAUUCUGUGAGUGUCGAACCUGAGUCAAUUAACACAAAAUUGCAAAUUUGUUUGAAUUAGUGAAAUUUUGCUAAUUUCAUGGGUUAAAGUUCAUUUUUGAAAAUAUUCAACCAAUCUACGAGUAGAAUGUGUUUCAAUGGGGCUCUUUCAUUGCACCGAGGGAAAAAGGUUUUAGAUUGAUUGUUCGCUGGUAUAAAAAUUUUAGCUUCAGCUGUUUCUGUUUCGCUAAUUGAGAUGGAUUUCAAAUUGGUAAUUGUGUGUCAUAUUGAUGCUUUUUGACCCAAUUGUGUUAGACGAUGGUGAUUUAUCUUGUGGCUGUAUUGAUAUUCAGAGAGAAUGCAAUAAGAUUGGAG
This 497-nucleotide unclassified non-coding RNA is filed under the name Hevea brasiliensis (rubber tree). The record is from RNAcentral. Lineage: Eukaryota; Viridiplantae; Streptophyta; Magnoliopsida; Malpighiales; Euphorbiaceae.